GAAACUCAAAGGAAUUGACGGGGACCCGCACAAGCGGUGGAGCAUGUGGUUUAAUUCGAAGCAACGCGAAGAACCUUACCAAAUCUUGACAUCCUUUUGACCGCUCUAGAGAUAGAGUUUUCCCCUUCGGGGGACAAAGUGACAGGUGGUGCAUGGUUGUCGUCAGCUCGUGUCGUGAGAUGUUGGGUUAAGUCCCGCAACGAGCGCAACCCUUAAGCUUAGUUGCCAUCAUUAAGUUGGGCACUCUAAGUUGACUGCCGGUGACAAACCGGAGGAAGGUGGGGAUGACGUCAAAUCAUCAUGCCCCUUAUGAUUUGGGCUACACACGUGCUACAAUGGACAAUACAAAGGGCAGCUAAACCGCGAGGUCAAGCAAAUCCCAUAAAGUUGUUCUCAGUUCGGAUUGUAGUCUGCAACUCGACUACAUGAAGCUGGAAUCGCUAGUAAUCGUAGAUCAGCAUGCUACGGUGAAUACGUUCCCGGGCCUUGUACACACCGCCCGUCACACCAUGGGAGUUGGUUUUACCCGAAGGUAGUGCGCUAACCGCAAGGAGGCAGCUAACCACGGUAGGGUCAGCGACUGGGGUGAAGUCGUAACAAGGUAACCGUAAAGGGCGAAUUUCGCGGCCG
Molecule: ribosomal RNA, 630 nt
Filed under: uncultured low G+C Gram-positive bacterium
Lineage: Bacteria; Bacillati; Bacillota
Description: bacterial SSU rRNA
Rfam family: Bacterial small subunit ribosomal RNA
Source: RNAcentral